RNAcentral lists this transfer RNA (85 nucleotides) under Felis catus (domestic cat). It matches the Rfam family "tRNA". Rfam says of the family: Transfer RNA (tRNA) molecules are approximately 80 nucleotides in length. The record is from Rfam by way of RNAcentral. Lineage: Eukaryota; Metazoa; Chordata; Mammalia; Carnivora; Felidae.
GCCUGGGUGGCUCAGUCCGUUGAGCGUCCGACUUCGGCUCAGGUCAUGAUCUCAGGGUUUGUGGGUUCAAGCCCCAUGUCAGGCU